AGAUAUAGUCAAUGCUCGCACGAGUGAACUAGCUAACUGAAAUCACAAAAUCACAAAAUGUGCUUAUUGUGAUAACGUAAGGGAAAAAAUUGAUAUUACCUUACUAUUAGUGUUGUCUAAAUAACUGGUGCCAGAAGACUCGGUAACACCAGAAACGCGAACGUUAGUCGGCUUAAACAGGCGUAAAGGGUAAGUAGGCUGCUUUAAAGUCUAUUUUUAAAUAAGCUAAUUAAUAAUAAUCCUCCACACCCCUAGCUUUUUUUAAUUUACCCUCCCUGCCUUAAGCAGGCGGCGAGGGUGUAACAAAAAAUUAAGGAGGGAGGGCCUUGACUAAGAGACUAUAAAUUUUCAGAUCUUAAAUUAUAAAUUAAAGCAAACUAAAAAUGAAAAUAGGGAAUUAUUAGGCCCAGCCAAAUGCAGGGAGCUAAUAAUAUUAAUUAUUAAAACAAAAAUAGAUACACUUAAAGCUAGAAUCAUAAUUGAGAUAAACCAAAUAAUACUUAUGUGUAAGGGCGAUAUCUGAAAAUACUAAGUGGAAUACUAACGGUGAAAACUUUUUAUCUGGUAAUGAUUGACGCUGAGGUACGAAAGUGAGAAUAGGGAAUAGGAUUAGAUACCCAGUUACCUCUCACCGUCAACGAUGAAUGGUAGUUGUUAGUUUAAUAAAAUUAGUGACGAUGUUAACGCGAUAACCAUUCCGCCUUGAGAGUACGGUUGCAAAACUGAACCAUAAAAAUUAGUCGGUCUCGAGCAACGAAUGAGCAUGUAUUAUUCGAUU
This 778-nucleotide ribosomal RNA is filed under the name Inocybe cf. monochroa SK0603. Its description in RNAcentral is "16S ribosomal RNA". It matches the Rfam family "Bacterial small subunit ribosomal RNA", at positions 359 to 956 of the family's 1533-position model. The record is from RNAcentral. Lineage: Eukaryota; Fungi; Basidiomycota; Agaricomycetes; Agaricales; Inocybaceae.